Molecule: ribosomal RNA, 253 nt
Filed under: uncultured bacterium
Lineage: Bacteria
Description: partial 16S ribosomal RNA
Rfam family: Bacterial small subunit ribosomal RNA
Source: RNAcentral
UACGUAGGUGGCAAGCGUUGUCCGGAUUUACUGGGCGUAAAGGAUGCGUAGGCGGACAUUUAAGUCAGAUGUGAAAUACCCGAGCUUAACUUGGGUGCUGCAUUUGAAACUGGGUGUCUAGAGUGCAGGAGAGGUAAGUGGAAUUCCCGGAGUAGCGGUAAAAUGCGUAGAUCUCGGGAGGAACACCGAUAGCGAAGGCAGCUUCUUGGCCCAUUCCUGACAUUGAGGCACGAAAGCGUGGGGAGCAAACAGG